Molecule: long non-coding RNA, 1974 nt
Filed under: Anas platyrhynchos platyrhynchos (common mallard)
Lineage: Eukaryota; Metazoa; Chordata; Aves; Anseriformes; Anatidae
Description: lncRNA (ENSAPLG00000031113.1)
Source: RNAcentral
CCUGGAGAGUUUUUUCCGGAGUUCAGCUGAUAUAAAUUCCCACUGGAGAGUUUGAGGCUGGCAAUCAGCUUACUCAUUCUCCGCUUAUCAUCACAAACCUCUGACCUUCAAACAUCGCUGGUGCGGUGCCCGGCUGAGCAAACUCAAAUCGAACCAGCUGGUGAUUCACCGCGCUCCCGUGUCGCGACACGCGGCCUCUGCUCGCUCCCUGCAGGUUCCCGACCUCGUCCCACGUCUGGUGCUUGUCCCACACCAGUGGUGCUGGGCCCUGGGUGGUGCUGGAGCACGGUCGGGGUUCCCACAUGGUUAUAGGUGAUAGGGCAGGGAUGCAGCACGGGCAAGGAUGCUGAGCUGGUUGGGGUCCCCCAGGUGUCCCCAGCCUGUGCCUGACAUCUCCGGGGACAUCUCUCCCUCUGCAGGAGAACCAGGGUUGGGUUUUGAUGAGACCGAUGCCUUUUCCAGGCAGCAUUUUCUGCUCCCCCUGGCCCGUCGGAUGCUGGCGACUGACUUUUUGCUCACUUUUUCCUAGAAAGAGCCAUCCUCACGGCCUCUUCCAAAGGCAACCCGUGCGUGCCAAAGCCACCUCCGCUGCCCGGAGCCCUUGGUGCUCGGAGCAGGGAUGCUGAGCCCGCAGGGGGAUGAAACAGGGGGGCUGCAAGGCUGGAGGGGGGGCGCAGCCACUCCUGCAGGAGGGCCGUGGGAGGCAACUGGUGUGCCAGCAGGCGCGGAGGAAUGCGGCAGCAGGGCGGGGGGAGGACAGAAAUUAAUAAUUAUCCAAAGCGCACCCCUAUCACUGUUCAUCGAAAUUUGCCCAUACUUCAUUCCAGCCUCCUUUCUUCUUCUUGCCUCCAGGCUGACGGAGCAUCGGUUUCAGAUUCUGCCUCACACUUGGCUGCCUCCAGCACACGGGAAGGACCAGGGGUGAUGCUCUGCUGGCAGUCCCGGCGUGCAGCGCAGCAAGAGGCCGGCAAGAGCAUGCUGGAAGCUGUAGUCCAGGUGCCCCGGCAUCGCCAGCGCCGCACUGAGCUGCUCACAGCCCUCCUGCUCCUCCUCCUCCUCCUCCUUCCUCACAAACACCGCCUCUGCUUGCUAAUCCCUCCCAGGCUUUGCAGCCUUCGAGUGACAAAAUGCAAAUGGUGGGGGAGCAGAGGAAGAAAUUGCACAGCGAGGAGAGAUAAAGCAAAUAUCCGAACGCCGAGCCGCCUUCAGCGCAGCUCGCUGGCGCCCGAGCGUUCCUCCGGGAGCGCCUCAGCUCGGAAAAUGUUUGUCGUCUCCCAUCAGGUGAAUCCGUGGGCACGGUGUGGAGUAAAUGUUAAUUAAACUAGCACGGAGCUGCUUAGCAGUGGGCCAUCCCAGGCAAUCCCUUCUGCUGUCGACAGAGCUUGGUGAGAGCGUGCGAGGGAAGACUUUGACCCCGAGCAACUGCUGCAAAGGAAGCAGAAGCAAUUUUGCUGCCAUCAGUGGCAUUUCCCUGGAUUUCUUCUGGCCUUGCCAAAAGCAGAAUGUGUUGUCGAGCCUGCAGGAAACGAAGUUUUCUUUAUUUUGCAGGAGACGCUCGCUCUAAUUGCUGUCUUCCCGUGCCCGAGCAGCCGGCACCGCUCACCCCCAGCGGGGCCGGGGCUGGCCGAGGGACACCGCUGCUCCUGGGUCCUGCACUGAGGUGCUGGGGUUUUCCUUCUCUGGUGAGCAAAGGAAACCCUGGCAAAGUGAUAAGAGCAUCAUGAUGAAGUGUUAAACUGUGAGUGAUUCCUCGGGUCCUGUCCCAGCGAAGGAUGCACUGAAAAGGAUUCAUCCCCCCGGGGGAAGCAGCAGCUCCAAGGAUCUUCCUCUCACCCACCCCUCUGGGUGUAAGGACUUGUUAUAAAUAAUACUCGAGCCUAAAGGAGGUGAAUGAGGACUUUUAUGGAUUUAACACGAAACUCUAACAUCUUUUUCCACUAAAGCUUCUGUCAAUAAAUCAUUUUUUAAUUAUCA